UCUUUAUAGCAACCAUGGCUUUCUGUUUCUUGGCGAGAAUUAUGUUGGCAACCCUGAUAAUCGUCAUCUUCAGCCUGCAGUUGCAGCUGGUUUCAACUCAUGCAGCCGGAGGUAUGUAACCUUUCUUUUCAAACUAGCAAGUCCUUAUAAUUGGCCAAUACAUAGGCUAAGUGAUUUUUAACUUAUAAGUCAUUUUUUUAAAUCAGCAAACACUACUUGCCCGUUCGAGUCCUUAUAAUUUGUUGUAUGCUUUUCGAUGAAUUAAUUUUUAAAUUUUCUUUUGUGAAAUUUACCGUAAAUUAUAAGAGCAUCUCCAAGAAUCCCCGUUCGAGUUUCGGAGUCGGUGAUGAGUAUUGAAUUCGGGGAUGAGGGGCAUGGAUAACACUCCCCGAAUCCGAAGUGUCCCCUGCCCAUCCCUAAUACUAUCAAUGUCGCAGUUGCAGGUGAAAAGAGGAGCAUACUGUUAUCUCCUCCAGAUCACGGAUUUGACGGACGGGACAUUAUUCGCAUUCCUCACACUCCUAAAGGGCUGAGCGUUCGGUCGGUUCGGUCCAGAACCGGACCGAACCGAAUGGACCGAGGACCGAAUUUCUGAAAUUUUCUGGACCGGACCGGACCGAAAUUUGCAUAUGGACCGAACCGGGACCGAACCGAAAUAAUUCGGUCGGUUCGGUCCGGACCGCCAGAACCGAAAUUUUGUAUUAAUUUAAGGGAAGCACAAGUGCACAACUCGAUGCCUUAUCGGCUGGUCUACUGGCUGAAGAAGACAAGUUAGGAGCUAUAUACUUUGAUGAAGUAUUUUGCUGGCAAUUUCUUGUGGAAACAAAGGUAGUAUAAGUUUUGCUUCACUUCCAUGCCGAUCAUAUUAGUUCAGUAAUUUUCAAUGCAGCAGAGGUGCUAUGCUGCGUGUGCGCGGCGCUCGGAGAGAGUGGGAUAGCAGAUUAGGUAAUAGAUAUAAUAGAUUAGGUAUUGUAUAGACUAUAGACUAUAGUCAUAUAGAAUAUGUUAAGUAAUAUAUAAAAUAUAUAUAUAUAAACUUCGGUCCAUUCGGUCCAGGACCGAAGAUUUUCGCUGAGGACCGGACCGGACCGUAUUUUAUUUCGGUCCGGACCGAAAUACCCGAACAGACCGAAAUUUUUGAAAAUUAGGACCGAACCGGAUCGAAAUUAUUCGGUUCGGUUCGGUUUUUCGGUUUCGGUCCGGUUUUGCUCAGCCCUAAUAACGAUCGUUUGUAUUCAAAGGCAGCAUCACGACGCCAAGCACUUCAAGAUCCAAAGCCGCCGCUCCAUUCUCCUCCACCUCCGGUUGGAAGCCGUCCUGUUUACCCACCUUGACAUGAGUCAGGAUCGCUGUGGAAAUAAGUAUAAUUAUGAGUGACAGACAUGCUAGCUGGAGCCUAUUUGUCUUGCCUGGGUUUAAAGCUCAGUUUUUAAGCUAUUUUUGAUUAAACUUGAGAAUGUAUGUUUGUAUAAUAUGAUUUAAAAUUUUAAAUAAAUUUGAAAUUGACUUA
RNAcentral lists this long non-coding RNA (1510 nucleotides) under Daucus carota (carrot). RNAcentral describes it as "long non-coding RNA (DCAR_LNC001725)". The record is from RNAcentral. Lineage: Eukaryota; Viridiplantae; Streptophyta; Magnoliopsida; Apiales; Apiaceae.